AAAUGUUCCCAUUUAAUUUUUCCAGUGCCGCCUGUUCGUGCCCCCCCAUCCCGGGGACUUAUCCCUGGUAUUGGGUGCCAGCACUGGCCCGGGAGUCCCUGAUCCUGUUUUGCAAUCUUCUGGUGUCAGCCAGCAGCUUGGGCCUUCUUGUAAGUGCCCCCACGGUCAUGGGGAAGGAAUGUUCCCCCAGCCGCAUGGGGAAAGGUCACCACGGGCAAAGGGGACACUGGGGCCGGGCGAGCGUGCUCCCUUGCUCCCCAUUGCCGAUGAGGGCAACGCCAAUCAGCACAGAGCUGAAAACAUUCCGGCUUUAAAAAAAAGGUUCAGGAGGUUAAAUAUUUUGGGGAAGGCCCCGCUUCCUUUCACAGGGCAGAUCUCCCAGCAGAUGCUGUGCCCAGGCAAAGUCCAGGAGGACAUUUCCCUGUGGGUUUCAUCGCUUUUUUUAGUGAGGGAGGUUGUUUGCUGUUGAGUCUGCAUCUGCUUGUCUCGCUGAAGCAGUGUCCAGGACAGUGUUGUUCUGAAGAGUAGCUGGGCUGAGCACUCUCUUCCCUUCCCAUCCCAUCCCAGGCCUGCCAACAAACCUCUCCCCUGAACUCAACUCGGAAAGAAAGCUGUGACUUGUGGUGGCCGCGGAGGGAUUAGCAUCCAACAUUAAGGGCUUAACUCUUCAUCCCUGCCAGCGGGGGUUUCAAGUAACGCCACUGUGCCUUUUUCUUCCGCCCUCAACGAGUUUGUAUCCUGCUUUAAAAACAUCCUUUACACACCAUUCUCCGGGCUGGGUUUUCUAAGCUGGAGCUUGCUCCUGGUGCUUGGCUUUCAGAGUCUGGCGUGUUGGCUGAGGCUGGUGGCAUUGAUCGGGGUGAGAGCGGAGUGGAGGAAGGAGGAGGAAUUUCUAGGCUGGGCUCAUGAACCGAGUUUGUCAAAAUUCUCAGCAUGUUAAGAAAAAAAAGAUAAUCUGGCCCUUGGUCUCUAGGUUACGUUUGCCUCUGCUGUGGCUGAGCUCAUGGAAAAUUGCAGCUUAGCUCCUGCACUCAGUGCCAAGAUUAGUAGGUUUAAAAACUAACCGAUAACAUCUUUGUAAACUUGGAGUCAUUUCUUUUAAGCCUGAUGAUCCUUCCAGCCUGGAUUUUGGAGCUUUCCUCGAGAUCCACAUGAGACAAGCAGGAUGACAGUAUCAGCCUUGAAAAAAAUCACCGUGUCACCUUCACAUACCCAGAGGAAGGAGGCUGCUGUUCCCC
This 1238-nucleotide long non-coding RNA is filed under the name Strigops habroptila (Kakapo). RNAcentral's name for it is "lncRNA (ENSSHBG00005017422.1)". Lineage: Eukaryota; Metazoa; Chordata; Aves; Psittaciformes; Psittacidae. The record is from RNAcentral.